GUCUACGGCCAUACCACCCUAAACGCGCCCGAUCUCGUCUGAUCUCGGAAGCUAAGCAGGGUCGGGCCUGGUUAGUACUUGGAUGGGAGACAGCCUGGGAAUACCGGGUGCUGUAGGCU
This 119-nucleotide ribosomal RNA is filed under the name Peromyscus maniculatus bairdii (prairie deer mouse). The record is from RNAcentral. Lineage: Eukaryota; Metazoa; Chordata; Mammalia; Rodentia; Cricetidae.